AGUGAACGCUGGCGGCGGGCUUAACACAUGCAAGUCGAACGGCAGCACAGUAAGAGCUUGCUCUUACGGGUGGCGAGUGGCGGACGGGUGAGGAAUACAUCGGAAUCUACUCUUUCGUGGGGGAUAACGUAGGGAAACUUACGCUAAUACCGCAUACGACCCACGGGUGAAAGCAGUGGAUCUUCGGACCUUGCGCGAUUGAAUGAGCCGAUGCCCGAGUAGAUAGUGGGCGGGGUAAAGGCCCACGAAGGCGACGAUCCGUAGCUGGACCGAGAGGAGGGUCAGCCACACUGGAACUGAGACACGGUCCAGAGUCCUACGGGAGGCAGCAGUGGGGAAUAUUGGGCAAUGGGCGCAAGCCUGAUCCAGCCAUACCGCGUGGGUGAAGAAGGCCUUCGGGUUGUGAAGCCGUUUUGUUGGGAAAGAAAAGCAGCAGGUUAAUACCACGCUGUUCUGACGGUACCCAAAGAAUAAGCACCGGCUAACUUCGUG
Molecule: ribosomal RNA, 492 nt
Filed under: uncultured bacterium
Lineage: Bacteria
Description: partial 16S ribosomal RNA
Rfam family: Bacterial small subunit ribosomal RNA
Source: RNAcentral